Molecule: transfer-messenger RNA, 63 nt
Filed under: Chloroflexota bacterium
Lineage: Bacteria; Bacillati; Chloroflexota
Description: Chloroflexi bacterium (marine metagenome) partial transfer-messenger RNA
Rfam family: transfer-messenger RNA
About the family: Bacterial tmRNA, also known as 10Sa RNA or SsrA, is named for its dual tRNA and mRNA-like properties. Its role is to liberate the mRNA from a stalled ribosome.
Source: RNAcentral
CGCUCGUAGAUGUUCGCGAAUCUAAUCUUUCGGACGCGGGUUCGAGUCCCGCCAUCUCCACCU